Molecule: ribosomal RNA, 418 nt
Filed under: uncultured bacterium
Lineage: Bacteria
Description: bacterial SSU rRNA
Rfam family: Bacterial small subunit ribosomal RNA
Source: RNAcentral
AGCGAACGCUGGCGGCGUACUUAACACAUGCAAGUCGAACGGGGAUCAUCGGGUUAGCAAUAACUCGGUGGUCCUAGUGGCGCACGGGUGAGUAACACGUGGGUAACCUGCCCUGGAGACCGGGAUACCCCCUCGAAAGGGGGGCUAAUACCGGAUACGUUCCCUGGAUCGAGAGGUCUGGGGAGGAAAGGUGGCGAAAGCUGCCGCUCUUGGAGGGGCUCGCGGCCUAUCAGCUAGUUGGCGGGGUAACGGCCCACCAAGGCUAUGACGGGUAGCUGGUCUGAGAGGACGACCAGCCACACGGGGACUGAGACACGGCCCCGACUCCUACGGGAGGCAGCAGUGGGGAAUUUUCCGCAAUGGGCGAAAGCCUGACGGAGUGACGCCGCGUGUGGGACGAAGGCCUUCGGUCGUAACC